RNAcentral lists this unclassified non-coding RNA (301 nucleotides) under uncultured Chaetomium. RNAcentral's name for it is "sequence contains ITS1". The stretch from base 1 to 105 matches the Rfam family "5.8S ribosomal RNA", at positions 50 to 154 of the family's 154-position model. The record is from RNAcentral. Lineage: Eukaryota; Fungi; Ascomycota; Sordariomycetes; Sordariales; Chaetomiaceae.
GAAAUGCGAUACUUGGUGUGAAUUGCAGAAUCCCGUGAACCAUCGAGUCUUUGAACGCACAUUGCGCCCGCCAGUAUUCUGGCGGGCAUGCCUGUUCGAGCGUCAUUUCAACCAUCAAGCCCCCGGGCUUGUGUUGGGGACCUGCGGCUGCCGCAGGCCCUGAAAAGCAGUGGCGGGCUCGCUGUCGCACCGAGCGUAGUAGCAUACAUCUCGCUCUGGUCGCGCCGCGGGUUCCGGCCGUUAAACCACCUUUUAACCCAAGGUUGACCUCGGAUCAGGUAGGAAGACCCGCUGAACUUAA